GCUUGUGAGGGUGAUCUGGCUGCAACAUUUGUCACUUACACUGAUCUUCAGGGUUGAUUCAGCUGAUCUGGCUGGUUAGGCGGUUGACCCCUUCCUCCCUCACAGCUCCAUGUGAGUCCCUCCCAAAGUUGUGCGCUAGGUUAAGAGAACAGCUUUCCCAAAUAGAGAUGGACCAGUCUUUGGUCUAGGGUAUAGGAGUAGCUGUACUCUCCUGCUAGAAUGUCCAAACUAGCUCUCAAGGUCCAUUUGUAGAACUUAGGGUAGUCAAGUUUCCAAGACUCCAGACACAUCCAAAUACUAAAUGAGGCACUGCAUGUGGCAGUCUGCCAAAA
Molecule: non-coding RNA, 332 nt
Organism: Erinaceus europaeus (western European hedgehog)
Lineage: Eukaryota; Metazoa; Chordata; Mammalia; Eulipotyphla; Erinaceidae
Source: Rfam